CUACAAUGGCCGGUACAGAGAGCAGCCACCCCGCGAGGGGAGCGAAUCUACAAAACCGGUCUCAGUUCGGAUCGCAGUCUGCAACUCGACUGCGUGAAGCUGGAAUCGCUAGUAAUCGCGCAUCAGCCAUGGCGCGGUGAAUACGUUCCCGGGCCUUGUACACACCGCCCGUCAAGCCAUGGAAGUCUGGGGACCUGAAGACGGUAACCGCAAGGAGCCGUUAAGGGUAAAACAGGUAACUAGGGCUAAGUCGUAACAAGGUACC
This 265-nucleotide ribosomal RNA is filed under the name uncultured bacterium. RNAcentral's name for it is "partial 16S ribosomal RNA". It matches the Rfam family "Bacterial small subunit ribosomal RNA", at positions 1225 to 1500 of the family's 1533-position model. The record is from RNAcentral.